AAGGCACUAGUAAAAAGGCCAUUACACUGCCUUGUCAAGGCAGAUUUGUGGGUUAAAACCCCGCGUGCCUUA
This 72-nucleotide transfer RNA is filed under the name Kathetostoma albigutta. Its description in RNAcentral is "tRNA-Asp". It matches the Rfam family "tRNA". Rfam says of the family: Transfer RNA (tRNA) molecules are approximately 80 nucleotides in length. Their secondary structure includes four short double-helical elements and three loops (D, anti-codon, and T loops). Further hydrogen bonds mediate the characteristic L-shaped molecular structure. tRNAs have two regions of fundamental functional importance: the anti-codon, which is responsible for specific mRNA codon recognition, and the 3' end, to which the tRNAs corresponding amino acid is attached (by aminoacyl-tRNA synthetases). tRNAs cope with the degeneracy of the genetic code in two manners: having more than one tRNA (with a specific anti-codon) for a particular amino acid; and 'wobble' base-pairing, i.e. permitting non-standard base-pairing at the 3rd anti-codon position. Lineage: Eukaryota; Metazoa; Chordata; Actinopteri; Uranoscopiformes; Uranoscopidae. The record is from RNAcentral.